RNAcentral lists this unclassified non-coding RNA (379 nucleotides) under uncultured Rickettsiales bacterium. RNAcentral describes it as "contains 16S-23S intergenic spacer region". The record is from RNAcentral. Lineage: Bacteria; Pseudomonadati; Pseudomonadota; Alphaproteobacteria; Rickettsiales.
UCCGGCUUGUCACCGGCAGUUUCCCUAAAGUGCCCAGCUUAACCUGAUGGCAAUUAAGGAUGAGGGUUGCGCUCGUUGCGGGACUUAACCCAACAUCUCACGACACGAGCUGACGACAGCCAUGCAACACCUGUGUGGGAGCCAGCCAAACUGAAGAAUUCCGUUUCUGGAAUCCAUACUCCCCAUGUCAAGGCCUGGUAAGGUUCUUCGCGUUGCCUCGAAUUGAACCACAUGCUCCACCGCUUGUGCGGGUCCCCGUCAAUUCCUUUGAGUUUUAAUCUUGCGACCGUACUCCCCAGGCGGAAUGCUUAAUGCGUUAGCGACGCCACUGAUCCGUAAGGACCAACAGCUAGCAUUCAUCGUUUAGGGCGUGGACUAC